Molecule: long non-coding RNA, 202 nt
Filed under: Hordeum vulgare
Lineage: Eukaryota; Viridiplantae; Streptophyta; Magnoliopsida; Poales; Poaceae
Description: long non-coding RNA (HVUL_LNC011087)
Source: RNAcentral
UUUUUUUCUUAUUUUUUAGAUGGAUGUUAUGUCCACGUGUAUAAAGUUUGUUUUAAAUUUGAAGAUAAAGUGAAGGUUUUUUUAUGAUGAGGAAAUACGAGCACAUCUUCCUUUUAAGCGGCCCGCAAUGGCGGGUCUCUCAACCACUAGUAAACUAAAAAUGUCAACCCAUUUAAAAUUGACAUGCUGACAUUUGAUUUGG